RNAcentral lists this long non-coding RNA (897 nucleotides) under Pan troglodytes (chimpanzee). RNAcentral's name for it is "lincRNA". Lineage: Eukaryota; Metazoa; Chordata; Mammalia; Primates; Hominidae. The record is from RNAcentral.
ACAGGAGCUUGGGAUCCGUCUCCUCUUUCGCCUCCUCCACCUUGGGAGCCCCGGGCUACUCUCUCACAGCCCUUGUUGCCCUGUGAUCUGUAGGUCUUGGGGACGCAUAGUUAAGGUGCCAGGACAUCCUGGAAGCUGGGAAAUGACCAUGGCUGGAGAAGGAAAGAAGGUGUGUUUUGCCUGAUUCAGGGACUAUAGAGAGAACCAAGUUCUGCAGGCCUGUCACCUAAGUCUCAGCUGGGUGUCACAAACUCUGAACUGGAUUCCAAGGCUUUCAUGAAUGCACUUAUGUUUGCUGUGGCAGCUGCAUUAUGUCGUGGGGGAUGUGGAUGCAGAACCUCACAUUCUGUCGUCUUGCUUAUGUUACUCUCCUUUAUGUUUCACUUUCUCAAAUGAAUGUCAAGCAGGUGAUUUUCAGAUUCAAAAGUUCUAAAAUAAAUUGCUCAAAUUUACACAUUAUGUAAGCUGUUAAUAAAAUUUCUUGUAGGUGCUACAUAUUUAUUAAAAUUUUUGGUUGUAAUUUUAAGCUCACUGUAGGCAGAAAGGAAUCAUUAAGAUUUCUAUUCUUUUUUAGUCUGUAUCUAAAUGACCGUAUAUUUUAAUUCCAAGUAUUUACUUUAUACUUCAGUAAUGCUCAUUGUAUUUUGCAAAAUUUAUAUUGUUCUUUUAUUUGAAAAUAUAAGGCUUUUUUUUAGCUCCUGAAAGCUAUAUUAUAGUCAUAUAGUUUUAUUAUAGUAUUUGAUAAGAAGAGCAGCAACAUAUUGAGAACAGAAUAAAAUUCUGCUGUCUUUUUAAUGAUUAUUUAUUAAAUUCUUCUCAUUAGAGCCUAUUAUUAAUGAUUGUAAUGUAUUUUCUGUAUAAUUUUACUGCAAUUUAUUAAAUGCCAAUGACUUCCAA